This is an RNA transcript of Sapajus apella (tufted capuchin), 2096 nucleotides long. It is a transcript of the gene named WD repeat domain phosphoinositide-interacting protein 2 pseudogene, with no coding region annotated. The record is from RefSeq and is a predicted model, not a curated record. The transcript has a single exon. Lineage: Eukaryota; Metazoa; Chordata; Mammalia; Primates; Cebidae.
UGAUCCUGGCGAGCCAGAGCGGGGAGGGAGGCCGGCGCCGGCCAGCUGCUCUUCCCCAACUUCAACCAGGACAACACAGCAGUGAAACGGGGAUCAAGAGCAACUGGUCCUGGCCAUCGCGCUGUUGUCUGGUCCCUAGCUGUUGGUAGUAAGUCCGGUUAUAAAUUUUCCUUUCUUCUGUGGAUAGGCUGGAACGGAUCUAUGAAUGCACCAACACGGAAGGUGUAUGCAUUGUAGAGAGAUUGUUCUCUAGCAGCUUAGUGGCCAUAGUGAGCCUUAAAGCACCAAGGAAGCUAAAGGUGUGCCUCACUUUAAGAAGGGAACUGAGAUCUGCAACUACAGCUACUCCAACACGAUUCUGGCUGUGAAGCUCAACAGGCAGAGGCUGAUAGUAUGCCUGGAAGAGUCCCUGUACAUCCACAACAUUCGGGACAUGAAGGUACUGCACAGGAUCAGGGAGACGGCUCCAAACCCUGCAGGCCUGUGUGCACUGUCAAUCAACAAUGACAACUGCUAUUUGGCCUACCCAGGAAGCGCAACCAUCGGACAGGUGCAGGUCUUCGAUACCAUUAAUUUGAGAGCUGCAAACAUGGUUCCGGCUCAUGACAGUCCUUUAGCAGCGUUGGCUUUUGAUGCUAGUGGCACUAAGCUUGCCACGGCAUCGGAGAAGGGGACCGUGAUUAGGGUAUUUUCCAUUCCAGAGGGACAAAAACUCUUUUGAGUUUCGGAGAGAAGAGGUGCGUGAGCAUCUGCUCCCUGGCCUUCAGCAUGGACAGCAUGUUCCUUCCGCCUCCAGCAACACGGAGACCAUGCACAUCUUCAAACUCGAAACUGUGAAAGAAAAACCCGCAGAGGAGCUCACCACCUGGACUGGGUACUUUGGGAAAGUGCUCAUGGCCUCCACCAGCUACCUGCCUUACCAAGUGACAGAAAUGUUCAACCAGGGCCGAGCCUUUGCCACAGUCCGCCUGCCAUUCUGCAGCCACAAAAACAUCCGCUUGCUAGCCACAGUUCAGAAGAUCCCACGGUUGCUGGUGGGCGCCUCCGACGGGUAUCUGUACAUGUACAACCUGGACCCCCAGGAGGGCGGCGAGUGCACCCUGAUGAAGCAGCACCGGCUGGAUGGCAGUCUGGAGACGGCCAAUGAGAUCUUGGACUCUGCCUCUCACGACUGCCCCUUAGUCAUUCAGGCGUACGGCACAGCUGCAGCAAAAGCCUAUGCAGACGACCUGGGUGCCAUGGGUGGCACCUACCUGGAGGAUGAGGCCAGCGCCCUGCGCCUGGAUGAGGACAGCGAGCAGCCCCCCAUGAUUCUUCGGACUGACUGAACUUGACCUAUGACCUCUGACCCGGGGAGCAGAGAACACUGGCUUCACAGAGGACUUUGUGCAAUGCUGCUAUUAACUUUGACCUGAGUCGAGGGAGAGGAUGGCAGCGACUUUAUUAAAAAAUAAAAAUAAAGAUUGUAGUGGUAGUCUAACUCCACAAUGCUGAGGAAAUACAUCGUUUUCACUUCAGUGGCUUUUAAUCUUGCUUAUGAAUUUUAGCUUUUUCUCUUUUUGCCAAAAUUAACUGUUUGGUGAAGCCCGCAAAACCUCCUUGCUUUGCAUGCCUGAAUGUGCCAAGCCAGCGUAGAAGAGCUAGAAGCCACUUUCCAACCACCUGCCAUUGGGUUUUUCAUAUCUGUACAUAUGCCAAGUGCGUCAGAAAGCCGUGGCCGAGCACACUGGGCCUGCUUGUCAAGGCUGGUUCUGCAGUGACAGGUCCAAGGCUGCCCACUGGGUGUGCUGGGCAGACUUUGCGGCCUGGGACACGAGUCCUCUCUCCCUAGGGCCCCCCCUGGACCAUUUUCCCUCCAUUUUAUUUUGUUAAUUAAAUUCUUUCCAGAUUAGAUCAUCCUGGGAUUUUUUCCAUGGUGGACUUCUGUUUCUGAUCUUGUUUUCCAUGUGGAUCUCGGAGGAGAGCGAGGUUCUUUCUGAUACUAAAAACCUUUCUGUCAGGCAGCAAAUGAACUUGAAAGAUUGCCUGGACUCCCCGGAGCAAAGGAAAGUGAUUUUGUUUGUAUAAUUAAGUGAUCUGUUCUUCUACUAAAAAAA